UUAAGUUAUUAAGGGCGCACGGUGGAUGCCUUGGCACUAGAAGCCGAUGAAGGACGUUACUAACGACGAUAUGCUUUGGGGAGCUGUAAGUAAGCUUUGAUCCAGAGAUUUCCGAAUGGGGAAACCCAGCAUGAGUUAUGUCAUGUUAUCGAUAUGUGAAUACAUAGCAUAUCAGAAGGCACACCCGGAGAACUGAAACAUCUUAGUACCCGGAGGAAGAGAAAGAAAAUUCGAUUCCCUUAGUAGCGGCGAGCGAAACGGGAAGAGCCCAAACCAACAAGCUUGCUUGUUGGGGUUGUAGGACACUCUAUACGGAGUUACAAAGGAUGACAUUAGACGAAUCAUCUGGAAAGAUGAAUCAAAGAAGGUAAUAAUCCUGUAGUCGAAAAUGUUGUCUCUCUUGAGUGGAUCCUGAGUACGACGGAGCACGUGAAAUUCCGUCGGAAUCUGGGAGGACCAUCUCCUAAGGCUAAAUACUCUCUAGUGACCGAUAGUGAACCAGUACCGUGAGGGAAAGGUGAAAAGCACCCCGGAAGGGGAGUGAAAUAGAACCUGAAACCGUGUGCUUACAAGUAGUCAGAGCCCGUUAAUGGGUGAUGGCGUGCCUUUUGUAGAAUGAACCGGCGAGUUACGAUUUGAUGCAAGGUUAAGCAGUAAAUGUGGAGCCGUAGCGAAAGCGAGUCUGAAUAGGGCGUUUAGUAUUUGGUCGUAGACCCGAAACCAGGUGAUCUACCCUUGGUCAGGUUGAAGUUCAGGUAACACUGAAUGGAGGACCGAACCGACUUACGUUGAAAAGUGAGCGGAUGAACUGAGGGUAGCGGAGAAAUUCCAAUCGAACCUGGAGAUAGCUGGUUCUCUCCGAAAUAGCUUUAGGGCUAGCCUCAAGUGAUGAUUAUUGGAGGUAGAGCACUGUUUGGACGAGGGGCCCCUCUCGGGUUACCGAAUUCAGACAAACUCCGAAUGCCAAUUAAUUUAACUUGGGAGUCAGAACAUGGGUGAUAAGGUCCGUGUUCGAAAGGGAAACAGCCCAGACCACCAGCUAAGGUCCCAAAAUAUAUGUUAAGUGGAAAAGGAUGUGGCGUUGCCCAGACAACUAGGAUGUUGGCUUAGAAGCAGCCAUCAUUUAAAGAGUGCGUAAUAGCUCACUAGUCGAGUGACACUGCGCCGAAAAUGUACCGGGGCUAAACAUAUUACCGAAGCUGUGGAUUGUCCUUUGGACAAUGGUAGGAGAGCGUUCUAAGGGCGUUGAAGCAUGAUCGUAAGGACAUGUGGAGCGCUUAGAAGUGAGAAUGCCGGUGUGAGUAGCGAAAGACGGGUGAGAAUCCCGUCCACCGAUUGACUAAGGUUUCCAGAGGAAGGCUCGUCCGCUCUGGGUUAGUCGGGUCCUAAGCUGAGGCCGACAGGCGUAGGCGAUGGAUAACAGGUUGAUAUUCCUGUACCACCUAUAAUCGUUUUAAUCGAUGGGGGGACGCAGUAGGAUAGGCGAAGCGUGCGAUUGGAUUGCACGUCUAAGCAGUAAGGCUGAGUAUUAGGCAAAUCCGGUACUCGUUAAGGCUGAGCUGUGAUGGGGAGAAGACAUUGUGUCUUCGAGUCGUUGAUUUCACACUGCCGAGAAAAGCCUCUAGAUAGAAAAUAGGUGCCCGUACCGCAAACCGACACAGGUAGUCAAGAUGAGAAUUCUAAGGUGAGCGAGCGAACUCUCGUUAAGGAACUCGGCAAAAUGACCCCGUAACUUCGGGAGAAGGGGUGCUCUUUAGGGUUAACGCCCAGAAGAGCCGCAGUGAAUAGGCCCAAGCGACUGUUUAUCAAAAACACAGGUCUCUGCUAAACCGUAAGGUGAUGUAUAGGGGCUGACGCCUGCCCGGUGCUGGAAGGUUAAGAGGAGUGGUUAGCUUCUGCGAAGCUACGAAUCGAAGCCCCAGUAAACGGCGGCCGUAACUAUAACGGUCCUAAGGUAGCGAAAUUCCUUGUCGGGUAAGUUCCGACCCGCACGAAAGGCGUAACGAUUUGGGCACUGUCUCAACGAGAGACUCGGUGAAAUCAUAGUACCUGUGAAGAUGCAGGUUACCCGCGACAGGACGGAAAGACCCCGUGGAGCUUUACUGUAGCCUGAUAUUGAAAUUCGGCACAGCUUGUACAGGAUAGGUAGGAGCCUUUGAAACGUGAGCGCUAGCUUACGUGGAGGCGCUGGUGGGAUACUACCCUAGCUGUGUUGGCUUUCUAACCCGCACCACUUAUCGUGGUGGGAGACAGUGUCAGGCGGGCAGUUUGACUGGGGCGGUCGCCUCCUAAAAGGUAACGGAGGCGCUCAAAGGUUCCCUCAGAAUGGUUGGAAAUCAUUCAUAGAGUGUAAAGGCAUAAGGGAGCUUGACUGCGAGACCUACAAGUCGAGCAGGGUCGAAAGACGGACUUAGUGAUCCGGUGGUUCCGCAUGGAAGGGCCAUCGCUCAACGGAUAAAAGCUACCCCGGGGAUAACAGGCUUAUCUCCCCCAAGAGUUCACAUCGACGGGGAGGUUUGGCACCUCGAUGUCGGCUCAUCGCAUCCUGGGGCUGUAGUCGGUCCCAAGGGUUGGGCUGUUCGCCCAUUAAAGCGGUACGCGAGCUGGGUUCAGAACGUCGUGAGACAGUUCGGUCCCUAUCCGUCGUGGGCGUAGGAAAUUUGAGAGGAGCUGUCCUUAGUACGAGAGGACCGGGAUGGACAUACCUCUGGUGUACCAGUUGUCGUGCCAACGGCAUAGCUGGGUAGCUAUGUGUGGACGGGAUAAGUGCUGAAAGCAUCUAAGCAUGAAGCCCCCCUCAAGAUGAGAUUUCCCAACUUCGGUUAUAAGAUCCCUCAAAGAUGAUGAGGUUAAUAGGUUCGAGGUGGAAGCAUGGUGACAUGUGGAGCUGACGAAUACUAAUCGAUCGAAGACUUAAUCAA
Molecule: ribosomal RNA, 2921 nt
Filed under: Staphylococcus aureus M0510
Lineage: Bacteria; Bacillati; Bacillota; Bacilli; Caryophanales; Staphylococcaceae
Also listed under: 1 other name
Description: bacterial LSU rRNA
Rfam family: Bacterial large subunit ribosomal RNA
Source: RNAcentral